RNAcentral lists this unclassified non-coding RNA (358 nucleotides) under soil metagenome. RNAcentral describes it as "partial contains 5.8S ribosomal RNA, internal transcribed spacer 2, and large subunit ribosomal RNA". The stretch from base 1 to 120 matches the Rfam family "5.8S ribosomal RNA", at positions 35 to 154 of the family's 154-position model. The record is from RNAcentral.
GAUGAAGAACGUAGCGAAAUGCGACAAGUAAUGUGAAUUGCAGAAUUCAGUGAAUCAUCGAAUCUUUGAACGCACAUUGCGCCCGCCAGUAUUCUGGCGGGCAUGCCUGUCCGAGCGUCAUUUCAACCCUCGAACCCCUCCGGGGGGUCGGCGUUGGGGACCUCGGGAGCCCCUAAGACGGGAUCCCGGCCCCGAAAUACAGUGGCGGUCUCGCCGCAGCCUCUCCUGCGCAGUAGUUUGCACAACUCGCACCGGGAGCGCGGCGCGUCCACGUCCGUAAAACACCCAACUUCUGAAAUGUUGACCUCGGAUCAGGUAGGAAUACCCGCUGAACUUAAGCAUAUCAAUAAGCGGAGGA